Small nuclear RNA from Bison bison bison, 104 nucleotides. Lineage: Eukaryota; Metazoa; Chordata; Mammalia; Artiodactyla; Bovidae. The record is from Ensembl.
GUGCCCCCUUGCUCAGCACUUACACUAAAAUUGGAGUGAUACAAAGGUGAGUAUGGGCCCUGGGCAAGGAUGACAUGCAACGUCAUGAAGUGGUACAUAUUUUU